This 71-nucleotide transfer RNA is filed under the name Atractosteus spatula (alligator gar). It matches the Rfam family "tRNA". Rfam says of the family: Transfer RNA (tRNA) molecules are approximately 80 nucleotides in length. Their secondary structure includes four short double-helical elements and three loops (D, anti-codon, and T loops). Further hydrogen bonds mediate the characteristic L-shaped molecular structure. tRNAs have two regions of fundamental functional importance: the anti-codon, which is responsible for specific mRNA codon recognition, and the 3' end, to which the tRNAs corresponding amino acid is attached (by aminoacyl-tRNA synthetases). tRNAs cope with the degeneracy of the genetic code in two manners: having more than one tRNA (with a specific anti-codon) for a particular amino acid; and 'wobble' base-pairing, i.e. permitting non-standard base-pairing at the 3rd anti-codon position. RNAcentral also lists the same sequence under 10 other names. Lineage: Eukaryota; Metazoa; Chordata; Actinopteri; Semionotiformes; Lepisosteidae. The record is from Rfam by way of RNAcentral.
GCACCAGUGGUGUAGUGGUAUCAUGCAAGAUUCCCAUUCUUGUGACCUGGGUUCGAUUCCCGGCUGGUGCA